Molecule: ribosomal RNA, 253 nt
Filed under: uncultured bacterium
Lineage: Bacteria
Description: partial 16S ribosomal RNA
Rfam family: Bacterial small subunit ribosomal RNA
Source: RNAcentral
UACAGAGGUCCCAAGCGUUGUUCGGAUUCACUGGGCGUAAAGGGUGCGUAGGUGGUCGUAUAAGUCUGAUGUGAAAUCUCGAAGCUUAACUUCGAAACUGCAUUGGAUACUAUUCGGCUAGAGGGUUGGAGGGGGGACUGGAAUUCUCGGUGUAGCAGUGAAAUGCGUAGAUAUCGAGAGGAACACCAGUGGCGAAGGCGAGUCCCUGGACAACUCCUGACACUGAGGCACGAAAGCUAAGGGAGCAAACAGG